AGAGAUGGAUUGGUGGCCUUCGGGAACUCUGACACAGGUGCUGCAUGGCUGUCGUCAGCUCGUGCGUGAGAUGUUGGGUUAAGUCCGUAACGAGCGCAACCCUUGUCCUUAGUUACCAGCACGUUAUGGUGGGCACUCUAAGGAGACUGCCGGUGACAAACCGGAGGAAGGUGGGGAUGACGUCAAGUCAUCAUGGCCCUUACGGCCUGGGCUACACACGUGCUACAAUGGUCGGUACAAAGGGUUGCCAAGCCGCGAGGUGGAGCUAAUCCCAUAAAACCGAUCGUAGUCCGGAUCGCAGUCUGCAACUCGACUGCGUGAAGUCGGAAUCGCUAGUAAUCGUGAAUCAGAAUGUCACGGUGAAUACGUUCCCGGGCCUU
RNAcentral lists this ribosomal RNA (380 nucleotides) under uncultured Pseudomonas sp. Its description in RNAcentral is "bacterial SSU rRNA". It matches the Rfam family "Bacterial small subunit ribosomal RNA", at positions 1002 to 1382 of the family's 1533-position model. Lineage: Bacteria; Pseudomonadati; Pseudomonadota; Gammaproteobacteria; Pseudomonadales; Pseudomonadaceae. The record is from RNAcentral.